GUGAGGAAUAUUGGUCAAUGGGCGCGAGCCUGAACCAGCCAAGUAGCGUGGGGGAAGACUGCCCUAUGGGUUGUAAACCCCUUUUGCGCGGGGAUAAACCGGCGGACGUGUCCGUCGCUGCAGGUACCGCGCGAAUAAGGACCGGCUAAUUCCGUGCCAGCAGCCGCGGUAAUACGGAAGGUCCGGGCGUUAUCCGGAUUUAUUGGGUUUAAAGGGAGCGUAGGCGGGAGAUUAAGCGUGCUGUGAAAUCCGGCGGCUCAACCGUCGCGAGCAGCGCGAACUGGUUUCCUUGAGUGCGCGGGAGGCAGGCGGAAUUCGUGGUGUAGCGGUGAAAUGCUUAGAUAUCACGAAGAACCCCGAUUGCGAAGGCAGCCUGCCGUAGCGUUACUGACGCUGAAGCUCGAAGGUGCGGGUAUCGAACAGG
This 424-nucleotide ribosomal RNA is filed under the name uncultured rumen bacterium. Its description in RNAcentral is "bacterial SSU rRNA". It matches the Rfam family "Bacterial small subunit ribosomal RNA", at positions 354 to 776 of the family's 1533-position model. The record is from RNAcentral.